Hypomesus transpacificus is the source of this 1051-nucleotide long non-coding RNA. RefSeq lists it as uncharacterized. The transcript has 4 exons. Lineage: Eukaryota; Metazoa; Chordata; Actinopteri; Osmeriformes; Osmeridae. The record is from RefSeq and is a predicted model, not a curated record.
CGAGAUCGCUCGGCUGAACCAGGAAAUGAUAUGCCGUGCCUGCCAACGCUAUCAGGCUAAGAAAGUGGGGGCGGAUCGGUUGAAACCAGAGUUUGGCAUGGAUAACCUGCCAUCGAGCAGGUUAGUUUCAAGGAGUAAGUUACCAUGGAAUCUUACCAAAAGGUUUCGUUACCUCUCUUUCUGGAACGCGGAACUCGGAGUAUGCCUCUUUUCAGGGUAAAAAAACUCAAAGUUUUCAUUAAACCCGCUACUUGGAAUACCCCCCAGAGUAUGCAAUGAAAGAUCUCCGGAUUGACCGAGCAGUGGGUCUCUAAAAAGCUGGUAAGCAGUUUCUCUUACAGCUGGCGACGUAAAAAGGAGCUAACAAAGGCACAAGGAGAACUGAAACUUCCAGAGCAUACACUGAAGACCGAGUGUCCCACAAGGUGGGGAUCAAGGCAGGCAACGAGUCCUGGAGUAGCAGAGGGCGAUUUCUCAGGUCUUGUCCGAUGACAGAAAAGCCCGACACCUCAUCCCCACUUGGCAGUACACAGAGGUCCUCGAGGCCAUUAACAAAUCCCUCAGCCCUCUAUCGGAAUUUGUGAAGCCAGUCCUCCACCUUUUCAGAUCCUCCAUCUUGAAAGUGAAUGAUGAUGAGAAACUAACCUGCACCAUCAAGACAAGAAUCCUGAGCUAUCUGGAUGAAAAAUACAAUGACCCCCUGACACAAGAACUGCUUGAUAUGGCGUCUGCGCUUGAUCCACGCUUCAAGCUGAGCUACGUCAGUGAAGACAAUGUUGUACCAAUUCAUGCAAAACUGACUUCUGAAAUGGCGAGGACUCCACCUGCCGCCAUGGCUGAGAUGGGCCCAACUGAUCCCCAUGGUGAGACUGCUGAGGAUGCACCCACUACAAAAAAGAAAAAGACCUUGGGGAGUUUCUUCAAGACUGCUGAGGGAGCCACUCAAAGAAUCAGUCCUCUCCAAGAACAACAAAUUAUAUCUUCUGAGCUACAGUCGUACCUACAAUCAGGUUUACUCGGCACGGCUUUUUUCCUUGGAGCUCGACGCUAC